Long non-coding RNA from Dreissena polymorpha, 788 nucleotides. RefSeq lists it as uncharacterized. The transcript has 4 exons. The record is from RefSeq and is a predicted model, not a curated record. NCBI's taxonomy places the organism in Eukaryota, Metazoa, Mollusca, Bivalvia, Myida, Dreissenidae.
CUUCAAUCACAGAACACGCAAAAAUGAUGAGCGUCUCUAAGUUUAUUGUGCUUUGCGUGGUGUUAGGACUUUCUAGUUCCACGAGUGUACAAUUAGGUCCAAGACGAGAAGCGAGCGUAAACGACUCAAAAGUUCUGGAGAUGGCAAAGUUGUAUAUCAGUCAGACACAAAACUGGAAGCUUUCGGCGAUUACAAAGGCAGAAAUUUAGGGUCAAGAGGACGUUUUCCUCCGGUACUUCCUGACACUCGAGGUUGAAGUGGAUACUGAUGCCAUUGCUGCUUGCUCAGUGGUUGUAGAUGACGACAUCUUCUUCAAUUAUCGGCAUGUAGUGUCUCAUAGCUGCCACAUAUAGGACACAUUUAAUUGGUGCAAUAUUCGAUCUGACAAGUGACGGCGUGGCAUGCGUACAAAUAGAUUAGUAUCAUCUUGGUUACGGACAUUUUUAUUCCAAAUGGUUUAUAUAUGCAGGAAAAGUGCUUUAUAACGCUUACUAAGCUUAUUAAAAGAAAACUGUAAUAAGAUGUACAAUAUAUGGUGCAAACUAGACAAUUGCAUUACUUUUUUACGAAAAUAAUUGCAUAGUUGUAAUAAUAGAGUAAUCACAUAUUAAAAUUAAUGUGUCUUUGUCAUCGUAAUCUACAUUAGAAACAUCUACAUUAUGGUCUUGCCAACUAGUGUACUGCACAAGGUUCAUUUCGGAUGAGCAGAUACAAAUCUGAUACAAACCUGUUUCUUUCGCAUGAAGAACUUGUAUUCGUAUAGUCAAUAAUAAAAAAAUACUUCGGCA